UGGGGAAUAUUGGACAAUGGAGGAAACUCUGAUCCAGCAACGCCGCGUGAGUGAAGAAGGCUUUCGGGUUGUAAAACUCUUUCAGUAGGGAAGAUAAUGACGGUACCUACAGAAGAAGCCCCGGCUAACUCCGUGCCAGCAGCCGCGGUAAGACGUAGGGGGCUAGCGUUGUUCGGAAUUACUGGGCGUAAAGGGUGCGUAGGCGGCCAAUUAAGUUAGACGUGAAAGCCCAGAGCUUAACUUUGGAAUUGCGCCUAAUACUGGUUGGCUAGAGUUCGGUAGAGGAAAGUAGAAUUCCUAGUGUAGAGGUGAAAUUCGUAGAUAUUAGGAAGAAUACCAGAGGCGAAGGCGGCUUUCUGGACCGAUACUGACGCUGAGGCACGAAAGCGUGGGGAGCAAACAGG
This 404-nucleotide ribosomal RNA is filed under the name uncultured bacterium. Its description in RNAcentral is "bacterial SSU rRNA". It matches the Rfam family "Bacterial small subunit ribosomal RNA", at positions 355 to 776 of the family's 1533-position model. The record is from RNAcentral.